GCCCUUGCAGUUGCGAGGCAGGUGCUGGAACCACUGAGGUUUUCGUGGCUCGGCUCCCUAGCUCUCAGGGCGUGGCUGGCCCUGGACGAGUUUCUGGUGCUGUCACCUAAAUGGGCUGUCGGUGGGGUGCCGAGAACUGGCCCCCCUGCACCUGCUCCCAGUCUGAAGCUGCAGGAGACACGCAGUCCCAGGAGGCCCUCAGAGGGCCCUGCUCACAGGUGACUGGAGACCUAGAAGCAUCGGGGUCAGCUGGGAGCCUGGGGGGACUGCGGCCCCACUCUGGACCUCGAGAAUCUGGACCUGCACAAGACCCCAGUGCUUAUGGUAUGCUGGACUUCUGCUUGUGGACGCAAAUGGCAAGUUAUCAAAAAGGAUUAUUUUGUUCCCAAAAAAGACUCCUGGAAGAAGAGCUAUUGUACAGUGAGCAAUGUCCAAGUGCCAGGCCGGUGCUCAAAACCACGCAGACUUGCUCACGGGGCUUCACGAAGUUUGCUCUUGCUCCCUGGCCAAGGGCAUCGAGAGAGACGCCGUGCCAGGUGUGACGGUGCAUACACGUAAUCCCUGCUAUUUAGGAGGCUGAAGCGGGAAGACCUUGAGUGUGGGCCCAGCUUGGGCAGGACCCUGUUUCAACAUUUUCAAAAGGGGCUGGAGAUGUAACUCAGUUG
Molecule: long non-coding RNA, 665 nt
Organism: Fukomys damarensis (Damara mole-rat)
Lineage: Eukaryota; Metazoa; Chordata; Mammalia; Rodentia; Bathyergidae
Exons: 4
Source: RefSeq, a predicted model, not a curated record